GUGUCAGCAGCCGCGGUAAUACGUAGGGGGCAAGCGUUGUCCGGAAUUACUGGGCGUAAAGGGAGCGUAGGCGGUCUUUUAAGUUAGAUGUGAAAUACCCGGGCUUAACUUGGGAGGUGCAUCUAAAACUGGGGGACUUGAGUGCAGGAGAGGAAAGUGGAAUUCCUAGUGUAGCGGUGAAAUGCGUAGAUAUUAGGAGGAACACCAGUGGCGAAGGCGACUUUCUGGACUGUAACUGACGCUGAGGCUCGAAAGCGUGGGGAGCAAACAGGAUUAGAUACCCUAGUAGUCC
RNAcentral lists this ribosomal RNA (292 nucleotides) under uncultured bacterium. Its description in RNAcentral is "partial 16S ribosomal RNA". It matches the Rfam family "Bacterial small subunit ribosomal RNA", at positions 505 to 796 of the family's 1533-position model. The record is from RNAcentral.